RNAcentral lists this long non-coding RNA (4319 nucleotides) under Sus scrofa (pig). RNAcentral describes it as "lncRNA (ENSSSCG00000053390.1)". Lineage: Eukaryota; Metazoa; Chordata; Mammalia; Artiodactyla; Suidae. The record is from RNAcentral.
AUUGUCUUUUUAAAACUGUUUUACAAAGGUGAGUUAAAGGUCAACACAGCCAGCCUAAUACCUUUCUCUUAGAAAAAUCCUUGAAACAUUUAAUUGCAUGGGGUGCUUGGUGUGUCUUGCUCUUCAUUGGGGGGGGGGUGUGUGUGCACGUGUGUGUGGUCCUAGGCCAAGUCAAAUACUCUUCUUCUUUCUCCAUCUAAUUCAUUUCACUUGUUCAUAGAGCAGUUUUUGAAUGCCUACUAUGAGCUGGGAACUAUAAUGGGCCUUGCAGGUGAAUAAGAGAGUAUUCCUGCCAUCGAGGAGCUCAAGUAAAGAAGAGAGACAUAAAUGUGAGUAAAUGUGUUAGACUAUGAUGUUAGUGCUAAAAUCAUGGUCCAUUUGGUGUGUUUUGCAAUCACAAAGGAGAGAGCAGUCACCCUGCUGAGAACGGAAGGAGAGAUGGAGAAGGCAAUGAGGUCCUACAAGAACUAUGUACAGUCUCUUGCGGUAGAACAUGGUGGAAGAUAGAAUAAGAAAAAGAAUGUAUGUGUGUGUAUAUAUAUAUAUAUGUACAUAUAUGUGUAAAUAUAUGUAUGACUGGGUCACUAUGCUGUAUAGCAGAAAUCGACAUAACACUGUAAAUAAACUAUACUCAAAUAAAUAAAUGAUCCUAGGCUUAUAAAGCACACAUAUAUAAAUAUGAAAGAAUAGGGAAAUAUAAAACACCCUAAAGAUUUAGCAACUGUGUACUAAGAAAAAUCAAUAACAGUAAGUUCUUUCAAUAAAUAUGUGAGUGAGAAAAGGGGGGAAAAAAGAAAGGGUGGCCCUGGAAUAAUGUAUUGUCUUGUUCCAGGAGAUAAAUUUCAAGAGACAAAUUUCAUCACAUACAUUGGGACACUGUCCUAUGUGCUAUGUGUAUGGUACGGCACAAAACACGGUAAGCCCUUGCCUUCAUGGAGUUUAUAUUCUAGUAGAGUUGGAGCAUAAAAAUAAAGUAGAAAAGUGCAUGUUAGAUGAGCCAGGAUGUAUAAAGCUGUGCAUGGGUAAAAAGCAAGAUGUAGCUGGCUCCCUGGGUCUAUGACAGGGUAUAUGUGGUAAAGUGAGAAAUGCAUGUCCAAGUCCAAAUUCCUAACCCAGCCCCAGGUGCUCAGAUCUGGCUCCAUAAGCAAAGGAGAGCUGAGCCAGGGAGGACUGAAGCAAGAAAGCAGCACUGCCAUUGUUAGUGUGGUUAUGAUUUAGAAAAAAUUCAGUGUGGCAGCAAGCCAGAUAAUGGAUUUGAGGAAGGGAGAAUGAAAGCAGGGAGACCAAUUGGAAGAAUUAUGAAGCUAUAUCAUUUACAUGGAAAUAAGGGCGGUGACAAUCCAAACAGACAAUGGGAUCAUGGAGAAAGAAGGGGCAGUUUUCCUUAAGGAAGAGGAAUUGGUAAUAACUAGUAGACUGAUUGGUGGCAGAAAGAGAGAGAUGGAGGAGGCUGAAAUGACUGGAGUUUUAACUUGGGCAGUGGCAAGAGGUGGUGCUAUUGACCAACAAAGAGAGUGCGUUUAUGAGGUGCGGGUAAGGAAACGAGCCUCCCUAAACAGUUCAGAUGGGGGAGGUCAGUCUCAAGAAAUGCCCAAGCUGAGACGGGUUUGUCCGUUCUUGUCCCUUAGUCAUCCUGAAUUGGAUGGAAUCACUCAAGGGGUAAGGAAGGGUAGAAGAGGAAGCCUGAGGACUCUCGUAGGAGAAAAGUUCAUUCAUGACACACAAGGGAUGUUUUAAGUCACUGGGACUUACUCUUCUUGUGGAACCCUAUUUGCAAAGGGAUCCACUAUGGUUUAUUUCCCAACUCAACUCAAGCUCAGUCAUACUGUCAAACUCAGCUUACCAGGAAUCCUGUGUUGAGUAUCUCAGGACAGCAUAAAUUUCUCUCAAAUUGUACAUGAGAUGGGGCUGGUCCAAAGUGAUAGGUGCUGUCAAUAUAAAAUAUCUGCCAGAUUUUUUUUUUCUUUUUUUAGGGCCACACCCGUGGCAUAUGGAAGCUUCCAGACUAAGGGUUGAGUCGGAGCUGCACCUGCUGGUCUACACCAUAGCCACAGCAGCGAGGGAUCCAAGCCACAUCUGCAACCUACACCACUGCUUGUGGCAAUGCCAGAUCCUUAACCCAUUAAGGAAGGCCAGGGAUUGAACUGGCAUGCUCAAGUAUACCAGCCAGGUUCUUAACUCACUGAGCCACAGCAGAUCCCUGUAUAUAACAGACUUUGAAAACAUAGUAGAAAGAGGAUGCCAAAUAUCUUUUAUAAUUUUUCAUAUUAAUAACAUUUAAAUGACUAAAUUUUAAUUUUACUAUUUUGGAUAUAGUAAGUUAAAUAAAUUGUUAUCAAAAUUGAUUGCCCUCAGCUCCUUUCCUAAAUACUUGUCCAGAAUAUGGAAAAUUGCAUCUGUGGCUCAUUGUGUUUCUGUUGGUUGAUGAUAAAGGGGAUAGAGCUGAUGGGGUAAGAGAGGAGACUGAGAUUAGCUCCAAGGCUAUUUCUAUAAUGAGGGCAGGAGAGAUGGCAGCUGAAAAUGAUGUGGUAGUUGGGAUCAAGAAAAGCAGAUAGAUUUGAAACACACAGAACGGGUGGUGGCUAGAAUUUAUGGGACUGGGGAUUUAUUGGAUAGAGGCCUCUCAGAAGGGAAAAAAGGCAUAGAUAACACACCUUUUCUAGCUGGCCACUAUGGGGCUAAACAGGAAGCACUGCAAGGUUAAACCCAGUGUAGGACAUAGGUUUGAGGAGUAAAAGGCAAUUUGGUAACCAUGAUUUGAGUUUGAGGGCCCUGUGGGCAUCAGAAAGGAAAGAUUCUGGGAGCAACUGGAUAUGUGGGUCUUCUAAUACUGUAUUAUUAAUGGUAAUAAUACCUAUCAUUUAUUUAAAGCCUAUUAUAUGUCAGAUAUUAUCUCAUUUAUUCCUUACAUGUAUUCGUGGAUACAGAUAUGCUAACAUUCCCUUUAUCUCUAUAUCAGUGGUUCACAGUCCAUCAAACCCCCUGCCACCCUCCGUUCCUAAUACAUAUUUUAUCCUGCCCCUUUUAUAUAAUGUAACUGGCCUUUACAUAUCAUUUCCAAAAUUUCAAAAUUAUAGCCUAACUCUAUGUAAGGGAAAAAUGGCAGGAAUGCAAUCUCUAAUAAAAUUUUAUCUUCUUAUUUAAUAGAUGAAUUCUCUAUAACCAUGACAGUUAAGGAUGAUAGUAGAAGAUCAAUUAUGACAUUGAUCACCAGGAAUACAACAGCCACAAGUGCAGGUUCAUGCCCGUAUAUCAUGUUGGGAGCUCACACACCACAAGUGGCAUUGCCUCAAGGACAUACUUUUCUGAAACGGUGGAUAAAUCUUGGAAGGUUCCAAACAAAACAAAUAUUUUUUCUUGAUUUCACAUGGUAGUUGCCUUCCUAGAAAAAUUCAGUCUAUAGUUAGUUCUGCUGUAACAUUUGUUUUAAAGUUUGUUCCAAAGCAAUUGUUAUAUUAAGGAACAAUCUGAACAUAAUGCAUUUGCUUAGGUGGGACUUUUUCAGCAAGAAACACUAGGUGAACCCAGAAAAGUGCCCUUAGCUGAAGGAGCCACGUAGGCCUACAGACAUGCACAUGCUAGCACCCUAAACUCUACCAGCUACCUUGUUUCAACACACCUGCACAGAUAGUGAACCAGGCUGCAAACUUCUGUCCAAUUUCAGAUAACUCUCCCUCCCUCACUUCAUAAUAACCACAGUGGCUCUUCUGUUGCCCACUUCUACUAGGGAACUUUAGAUGUUUUGUCUCAGUAAAGUAUUGCCUUUCUUGUAGUUCUUGUGUAUUUCUUAACCGUUUAACUUGUGUAAAACUGUGCUACAAUUUUUUCUGGAAUCCCAUCUUUUUCAUUAUGUGUCAUGGAUGAAGCUUUUGAGUAUGGUGUCCCCAACCCUGUUUUCCUCACAAGCCCUGUGGUUUGUAUUGCAUGAUUUUGCAUAGCACCAGUGAUUUUUUAGAACCACAUGUCUUCUUCUAGAAGACAUGACUUACUACAAAUCUUGAAUGUCUUUUAAUUCUCAUUCCUCUUUAAAUUAAAACUGGAAUAUUAAUUUAUUAUGGUUGGGUUUCAUUUAAGCUACCUGAUUGAUUUCCUGUAACAGACAUACAGGAAAGAUGGCAUAUUUUCUUAAUAAUAUUAAUAAUAUCACCUAUCAUUUAUUUAAAGCCUAUCAUAUGCCAGGCCUGUCUCUUUUAAUCCUCAUAUGUAUUUGUGGAUAAAAAUAUGCUAAAAUUCCCUUUCCCUUUUAAAAAAGUUGCUCUUUUAGUACACUAAAAGAUGGUAAAUGUAUGAGCAUUUUUAACUUUUAAGUUAAAAUAAAA